Non-coding RNA from Xenorhabdus bovienii SS-2004, 99 nucleotides. NCBI's taxonomy places the organism in Bacteria, Pseudomonadati, Pseudomonadota, Gammaproteobacteria, Enterobacterales, Morganellaceae. The record is from Rfam.
GUAGGUUGUUCUACGUCUCAAUGGUAGUUUUUAGCGCAAGGCUUUUUGAUAGAGCCAUUUUCCAUAGGCCGAGUAGAGGAGUAUACUCGGCCUUUUUUU